Molecule: microRNA precursor, 68 nt
Organism: Cyprinus carpio carpio
Lineage: Eukaryota; Metazoa; Chordata; Actinopteri; Cypriniformes; Cyprinidae
Source: Ensembl
UGUGUGGGUUCCUGGCAUGCUGAUUUGUGACUGUAGUGAAAAAUCACAUUGCCAGGGAUUACCACACU